AUGACAAUGAUGACAGUGACAGUGAUACAGUUCCUAGAGAAGUUUCUCUGAUCGUAUAGAGCACUGAAACUAUGAGUAGGAGCCAGAGCAUCCUCUCCUGAGUAUGAAUUAGAGGUAUUGCUUUCACAACUGCCUUUUACCAUUGAAGAUCAUUCUCUGUGCCCUAGGAAGAGUGAGAAGGAGAAGAUGCAGUCUGAGUGG
This 201-nucleotide small nucleolar RNA is filed under the name Sorex araneus (European shrew). Its description in RNAcentral is "Small nucleolar RNA U3 (ENSSARG00000017185.1)". It matches the Rfam family "Small nucleolar RNA U3". Rfam says of the family: Small nucleolar RNAs (snoRNAs) are involved in the processing and modification of rRNA in the nucleolus. There are two main classes of snoRNAs: the box C/D class, and the box H/ACA class. The record is from RNAcentral. Lineage: Eukaryota; Metazoa; Chordata; Mammalia; Eulipotyphla; Soricidae.